AAUAGAUACCCGGGUAGUCCUAGCCGUAAACGAUACUCGCUAGGUGUCGGCCACGGUGCGACCGUUGUCGGUGCCGUAGGGAAGCCGUGAAGCGAGCCACCUGGGAAGUACGGCCGCAAGGCUGAAACUUAAAGGAAUUGGCGGGGGGAGCACCACAACGGGGUGGAGCUUGCGGUUUAAUUGGAUUCAACGCCGGAAAUCUUACCGGGACCGACAGCAACAUAAAGGCCAGGCUGAAGACUUUGCCGGAUUAGCUGAGAGGUGGUGCAUGGCCGUCGUCAGUUCGUACUGUGAAGCAUCCUGUUAAGUCAGGCAACGAGCGAGACCCACGCCCACAGUUGCCAGCGUACUCUCCGGAGUGACGGGUACACUGUGGGGACCGCCGCUGCUAAAGCGGAGGAAGGAAUGGGCAACGGUAGGUCAGUAUGCCCCGAAUAUCCCGGGCCACACGCGAGCUACAAUGGUUGGUACAAUGGGUAUCUACCCGAAAGGGGACGGAAAUCUCCUAAAACCAAUCUUAGUUCGGAUUGAGGGCUGCAACUCGCCCUCAUGAAGCUGG
This 559-nucleotide ribosomal RNA is filed under the name uncultured bacterium. RNAcentral describes it as "bacterial SSU rRNA". It matches the Rfam family "Archaeal small subunit ribosomal RNA", at positions 728 to 1285 of the family's 1478-position model. The record is from RNAcentral.